ACGGUCCUAAGGUAGCGAAAUUCCUUGUCAGGUAAGUUCUGACCCGCACGAAAGGUGUAACGAUUUGGGCGCUGUCUCGGCAGCAGACUCGGUGAAAUCUUAGUACCUGUGAAAAUGCAGGUUACCCGCAACUAGACGGAAAGACCCCAUGGAGCUUUACUGCAGCCUGAUAUUGAAUUCUGGUCAUACAUGUACAGGAUAGGUGGGAGACAAAGAGACGUGCACGCCAGUGUACGAGGAGUCGACGUUGGGAUACCACUCUUGUGUGACCGGGGUUCUAACCUGGUAUCGAGAACAGGUACGGGGAGAGUGUCAGGUGGGCAGUUUGACUGGGGCGGUCGCCUCCCAAAGAGUAACGGAGGCGCCCAAAGGUACGCUCAGAUUGGAUGGAAACCAAUCGUCGAGUGCAAUUGCAGAAGCGUGCUUGACUGUGAGACAAACAAGUCGAACAGGGACGAAAGUCGGGAAUAGUGAUCCGGCGGUGCCGAAUGGAAGGGCCGUCGCUCAACGGAUAAAAGCUACCCUGGGGAUAACAGGCUGAUCUCGCCCAAGAGUUCACAUCGACGGCGAGGUUUGGCACCUCGAUGUCGGCUCAUCGCAUCCUGGAGCUGGAUUCGGUUCCAAGGGUUGGGCUGUCCGCCCAUUAAAGCGGUACGCGAGCUGGGUUCAGAACGUCGUGAGACAGUUCGGUCCCUAUCUGUUGUGGGCGAAGGAGAUCUGCGGAGAGCUGUCCUCAGUACGAGAGGACCGGGAUGGACCUACCGCUGGUGCACCGGUUGUUCCGCCAGGGGCAUAGCCGGGUAGCUAAGUAGGGAAAGGAUAAGCGCUGAAAGCAUCUAAGCACGAAGCCUACUCCAAGAUGAGAUCUCCCAUUCGCAAGAAGUAAGACCCCUUAAAGACGAUAAGGUAGAUAGGCCAGGGAUGGAAGUGCAGUGAUGUACGGAGUUGACUGGUACUAAUCGGUCGAGGACUUAAUCAG
Molecule: ribosomal RNA, 979 nt
Filed under: human gut metagenome
Description: bacterial LSU rRNA
Rfam family: Bacterial large subunit ribosomal RNA
Source: RNAcentral